UACGUAGGGGGCAAGCGUUAUCCGGAAUUACUGGGUGUAAAGGGAGCGUAGACGGCAAUGCAAGUCCGGAGUGGAAUGCGGCAGCUCAACUGCCGAACUGCUCUGGAAACUGUAUGGCUUGAGUGCAGGAGGGGUAAGCGGAAUUCCUGGUGUAGCGGUGAAAUGCGUAGAUAUCAGGAGGAACACCAGUGGCGAAGGCGACUUACUGGACUGUAACUGACGCUGAGGUUCGAAAGCGUGGGUAGCAAACAGG
Molecule: ribosomal RNA, 253 nt
Filed under: uncultured bacterium
Lineage: Bacteria
Description: partial 16S ribosomal RNA
Rfam family: Bacterial small subunit ribosomal RNA
Source: RNAcentral